Molecule: long non-coding RNA, 655 nt
Filed under: Nicotiana benthamiana
Lineage: Eukaryota; Viridiplantae; Streptophyta; Magnoliopsida; Solanales; Solanaceae
Description: long non-coding RNA (NBEN_LNC007954)
Source: RNAcentral
AACAAGGCAAACCAUUGUGGGGAAGAGAGGGCCAGCCUAUGUUAUUAGGCCUGCAAACUAAAAACCACUAGUUGUUUGCUGCUCUGAAAUCCAUCAGAAAUGCAGGAUCUACUAGUGCAAAUUUUGUUUUGGCAUAAACUGCUUACCCUUCAAUUCAUUUCUCGCGGUAAGUUUUCUCUUUCUUUCUGCUAAUAUUAUCUCUCUUACUUUCUAGAUGGACAAUGUGAACUAGCUAUGAUCAACCUGCUCUAUUUCCUUAAUCAAUACAGAAGUUCCAAUCUUAAUGAAGCAAAAAAGACUCCGAACAAGUGAUUCUUUAUAUGCAAAAAGAUAAGGGAAUAUGUGGAUCGCCUCCUAUUACCUACACAAGAGUGAGACUCAAAUUUAAAGUUUAUUGGGGUGAAUUAUAUAAUGCCUAAUAUUGUUAAGACAUUGCUGGGACAUUCGAAACUUAGGAGCACUUAGGAGCACAAGCAGCGGAAAAAGAGAUCAUAUGGACGGUAGGAAUCAUCAAGUGUUUGAAGGAAAGGAGAGUCAUGUCCUAGUAAAAAUGGUUGUCUUCUUCGUUGUUGAAUUUAGUGUACGUGUGGUGGUAUUCACAAUAAGUAAAUGAUUGGGAUUUGAUUUGUAGAUAUGAAUUCCUAUACGAAUGUUU